Molecule: ribosomal RNA, 251 nt
Filed under: uncultured bacterium
Lineage: Bacteria
Description: partial 16S ribosomal RNA
Rfam family: Bacterial small subunit ribosomal RNA
Source: RNAcentral
GAUCCUGGCUCAGGAUGAACGCUAGCGACAGGCUUAACACAUGCAAGUCGAGGGGCAGCGAGCGGGUAGCGAUACCUGUGUCGGCGACCGGCGCACUGGUGAGUAACACGUAUGCAACCUGCCCUCCGCAGGGGAAUAAACCGGGGAAAUCUGGUCUAAUGCCCCAUAGUCCCCGGGUCCGCAUGGGCCCGGGGGGAAAGAUCCGUCGGCGGGGGAUGGGCAUGCGGCGCAUUAGCUUGUUGGCGGGGCAG